RNAcentral lists this non-coding RNA (48 nucleotides) under Schistosoma mansoni. The record is from RNAcentral. Lineage: Eukaryota; Metazoa; Platyhelminthes; Trematoda; Strigeidida; Schistosomatidae.
AUCUAGCUGACGAGUUCCAAAUAGAACGAAACGCGUGUCAAACUGGAU